RNAcentral lists this transfer RNA (57 nucleotides) under Bos taurus (domestic cattle). It matches the Rfam family "tRNA", at positions 8 to 63 of the family's 71-position model. Rfam says of the family: Transfer RNA (tRNA) molecules are approximately 80 nucleotides in length. Lineage: Eukaryota; Metazoa; Chordata; Mammalia; Artiodactyla; Bovidae. RNAcentral also lists the same sequence under 4 other names. The record is from Rfam by way of RNAcentral.
UGGCUCAGAUGGUAAAGCAUCUGCCUAUAAUGCAGGAGAUCCGGGUUCAAUCCCUGG